GCCCUAUGGUGUGGUGCAAUGGGUCAGUGCAUCCAGCUAUUAACCAGAAGGUUGGUGGUUUGAGCCCACCCAGGGAGGCU
This is a non-coding RNA of Podarcis lilfordi (Lilford's wall lizard), 80 nucleotides long. The record is from the annotation of a GenBank genome assembly. Lineage: Eukaryota; Metazoa; Chordata; Lepidosauria; Squamata; Lacertidae.